Molecule: ribosomal RNA, 990 nt
Filed under: Pseudomonas aeruginosa
Lineage: Bacteria; Pseudomonadati; Pseudomonadota; Gammaproteobacteria; Pseudomonadales; Pseudomonadaceae
Description: bacterial SSU rRNA
Rfam family: Bacterial small subunit ribosomal RNA
Source: RNAcentral
UGCAGUCGAGCGGAUGAAGGGAGCUUGCUCCUGGAUUCAGCGGCGGACGGGUGAGUAAUGCCUAGGAAUCUGCCUGGUAGUGGGGGAUAACGUCCGGAAACGGGCGCUAAUACCGCAUACGUCCUGAGGGAGAAAGUGGGGGAUCUUCGGACCUCACGCUAUCAGAUGAGCCUAGGUCGGAUUAGCUAGUUGGUGGGGUAAAGGCCUACCAAGGCGACGAUCCGUAACUGGUCUGAGAGGAUGAUCAGUCACACUGGAACUGAGACACGGUCCAGACUCCUACGGGAGGCAGCAGUGGGGAAUAUUGGACAAUGGGCGAAAGCCUGAUCCAGCCAUGCCGCGUGUGUGAAGAAGGUCUUCGGAUUGUAAAGCACUUUAAGUUGGGAGGAAGGGCAGUAAGUUAAUACCUUGCUGUUUUGACGUUACCAACAGAAUAAGCACCGGCUAACUUCGUGCCAGCAGCCGCGGUAAUACGAAGGGUGCAAGCGUUAAUCGGAAUUACUGGGCGUAAAGCGCGCGUAGGUGGUUCAGCAAGUUGGAUGUGAAAUCCCCGGGCUCAACCUGGGAACUGCAUCCAAAACUACUGAGCUAGAGUACGGUAGAGGGUGGUGGAAUUUCCUGUGUAGCGGUGAAAUGCGUAGAUAUAGGAAGGAACACCAGUGGCGAAGGCGACCACCUGGACUGAUACUGACACUGAGGUGCGAAAGCGUGGGGAGCAAACAGGAUUAGAUACCCUGGUAGUCCACGCCGUAAACGAUGUCGACUAGCCGUUGGGAUCCUUGAGAUCUUAGUGGCGCAGCUAACGCGAUAAGUCGACCGCCUGGGGAGUACGGCCGCAAGGUUAAAACUCAAAUGAAUUGACGGGGGCCCGCACAAGCGGUGGAGCAUGUGGUUAAUUCGAAGCACGCGAAGACCUUACCUGGCCUUGACUGCUGAGACUUUCCGAGAUGGAUUGGUGCCUUCGGGACUCAGACCAGGUGCUGCAUGCUG